CCAGCAACGACCCAAGAUGGGUUCCAAAGGAAAAGGUGAUGUUGGGCAGUAGUUUUGGAUUGUUUUGACCCAGUGAAAUCCAGCUAGCAAUGAGACACUUGGCAGAAAGUAUCACAUGGCAGGAACAAAAAAAAACCCUCUGAGCAAUCUCUCCCCAGACAAUGCAGAACAAGAUCAGGUAACAUUUCUACUGAGCUAACUGCAGGUGCACUUGGUGCUGCUGCUGGUGCUUUGAUCUGUAGCAUUUUCACUUUAUGAGCAUUUUGAUGAUAGCAAAAGCUUUAUAAAUAUUUUUAUUUACUUUUUUUUUUUUUUAAACACCUCUUAGUUAGACGUAAAGCUCAUGUUGUUUUCUGACUUGGACAAUUUUGAUUAAAAAUGUUCAAUUUUGAAAUGUUUUGGUGUGAAAGACACAAAAAUAUCAUGUGACAUUUUAAUUAGAUUUUGUGUGAAGGUAGGAAAUCAGUUGGGUUUUAUGGCUUUCUUUUAUUUUGACAAAAUUACCACUCUCUGCUGCAAAAACAGGGAGCACAGCCUGACACAUUUAUGAUCUGAUGUUGAAAAGAACGUGAGACAGAAAUGGAAAGGAAAAUGGCAAACAGGUAUCUAUAAAUAAAACCAUGGUCAUAAACAUCAUGUCAUGCUCAUGAACAGCAGUGAGAUACAGCAGGUGAGAAAAUGAAAAGACAGAAACUGCAGAGCACAAAACACUACCAGUACCCCAAAAAGACUCAGCCUGGUGAGAUUUAGCUCAAUGUAUACGUGCAAAAAUUCUCAUGGCAUCCUCAGAGUUUGGCAGCAGCACUGCAAUGAUUUUCUGGAUUUUCUCUUGCAGGGGAUCACAAGGAAUGGAUGAAUUGCCAUCAGGACAAGGCAGGAGAAAAGGCCCACUGCUCCAGUCUCAGAUGCCACUUCAACUGAAGAGAUCACAGAACAGGAAAAGGGCAUGCACAGGUAUUGGGAAGGAGCAUCCCAGACCUUGGAAGUCGUGUCAUUUCUUGGAGAAACCCAAGAAGAAAUUACUGAAUACCCAAGAAGAAAAUUUGCACAUUGACUAUUUUAUUUGUAUAUAUGUAUACAUAUGUAUACAGCUCUUAAGAUCAAUGCUGGAAUAAUUGAAGUUCCAAAUAUCUCCUGAUGCUUUGUGUGUUGUAACUACUCCAUCAAAAUCAAUCAAAAUCUCACAAUCCUUAUAUUAAACUGCUAAUAAACAUUUAGGAAAAAGUAGCCA
RNAcentral lists this long non-coding RNA (1231 nucleotides) under Cyanistes caeruleus (blue tit). RNAcentral's name for it is "lncRNA (ENSCCEG00000016212.1)". The record is from RNAcentral. Lineage: Eukaryota; Metazoa; Chordata; Aves; Passeriformes; Paridae.